AACCUGCUGGCGGUCGCGGCGGUGAUGGCAAAAAAGAGUGGAGCAAAACCGGAGGCAAGAAACAAAGCACGAAGAACCAGCAGCGGUC
Molecule: non-coding RNA, 88 nt
Filed under: Micromonas pusilla
Lineage: Eukaryota; Viridiplantae; Chlorophyta; Mamiellophyceae; Mamiellales; Mamiellaceae
Source: RNAcentral